RNAcentral lists this ribosomal RNA (484 nucleotides) under uncultured bacterium. Its description in RNAcentral is "partial 16S ribosomal RNA". It matches the Rfam family "Bacterial small subunit ribosomal RNA", at positions 30 to 507 of the family's 1533-position model. The record is from RNAcentral.
AUUGAACGCUGGCGGCAGGCCUAACACAUGCAAGUCGAGCGGAUGAAGGGAGCUUGCUCCUGGAUUCAGCGGCGGACGGGCGAGUAAUGCCUAGGAAUCUGCCUGGUAGUGGGGGAUAACGUCCGGAAACGGGCGCUAAUACCGCAUACGUCCUGAGGGAGAAAGUGGGGGAUCUUCGGACCUCACGCUAUCAGAUGAGCCUAGGUCGGAUUAGCUAGUUGGUGGGGUAAAGGCCUACCAAGGCGACGAUCCGUAACUGGUCUGAGAGGAUGAUCAGUCACACUGGAACUGAGACACGGUCCAGACUCCUACGGGAGGCAGCAGUGGGGAAUAUUGGAUAAUGGGCGAAAGCCUGAUCCAGCCAUGCCGCGUGUGUGAAGAAGGUCUUCGGAUUGUAAAGCACUUUAAGUUGGGAGGAAGGGCAGUAAGUUAAUACCUUGCUGUUUUGACGUUACCAAAAGAAUAAGCACCGGCUAACUUCGUG